CAGCACAGUAUGCUAGUACUGCGCUGAUCCUUCUUUGAUGGUUGAUCAGGUGCCUCCUUCUUCUUGAUUUGGACUCUUCCAAAGAUGGAAAGUAUAAGGAGGAGUUUCAGAUCUGAGACGCUCUCAGAAAACUCAAGAUGGAGGGAGGAAAGAUAUGAAAACAAAAACCCUAGAAGAAGACCCUCUUCUUCUUCACAUUUUUCUCUCUAGACACCCAAACUUGCAUCUUUUAUAUCUCCAUGACAUAAAGGUAUUUCUCUCUGAUUUUUGGAUGGCACAAAGGUCUCUGAAAUCUCUAAUUUCUCCUAAAAUUUUACAAAGAAACUCAUCUUAUAUAGAGAGAUAUGAUAGAGUCCUUGUCUAGGUCAAACACCUAGUCAAGGCUUAUCCAAACAUGGCAAGUUAAGGGACGCCCAACUCUUGAGCACCUCCUUCAUAUUUUCAUACAUGGAUCACCAGCAAAGGGUGCACAAUAUGUACCCUAAAAUCCACAAAAAUUCUAAAAAAAAAUUUGGAUAAAUUCGGUGCAAAAUUGAAAGAGUUUUGGAUUUCUAAAACUCUAUCUCAUAGAAUUCGAAAUCCAA
This 584-nucleotide long non-coding RNA is filed under the name Elaeis guineensis (African oil palm). RNAcentral's name for it is "long non-coding RNA (EGUI_LNC061003)". Lineage: Eukaryota; Viridiplantae; Streptophyta; Magnoliopsida; Arecales; Arecaceae. The record is from RNAcentral.